RNAcentral lists this ribosomal RNA (443 nucleotides) under uncultured bacterium. Its description in RNAcentral is "partial 16S ribosomal RNA". It matches the Rfam family "Bacterial small subunit ribosomal RNA", at positions 338 to 795 of the family's 1533-position model. The record is from RNAcentral.
CCUACGGGAGGCUGCAGUGGGGAAUAUUGGGCAAUGGGGGCAAGCCUGACCCAGCAACGCCGCGUGAGGGAAGAAGGUCUUCGGGUUGUAAACUUCUUUUCUCAGGGACGAAGCUAGCGACGGUGCCUGAGGAAGAAGCCACGGCGAACUUCGUGGCAGCAGCCGCGGUAAUACGAAGGUGGCAAGCGUUAUCCGGAUUUACUGGGUGUAAAGGGGGUGUAGGCGGAUAUGCAAGACAGAUGUGAAAACGCCGGGCUCAACCUGUGAACUGCCAUUGUGACUAUAGAUCUAGAGUAAUGGAGAGGAUAGCGGAAUACCUAGUGUAGAGGUGAAAUGCGUAGAUAUUAGGUAGAACACCGGUGGCGAAGGCGGCUAGCUGGACAGUAACUGACGCUGAGGCUCGAAAGCAUGGGGAGCAAACAGGAUUAGAUACCCCAGUAGUC